GAUCAUGGCUCAGGACGAACGCUGGCGGCGCGCCUAACACAUGCAAGUCGAACGGAGUUAUUUUGGCAGAAGCCUUCGGGUGGACGCUGAUAUAACUUAGUGGCGAACGGGUGAGUAACACGUGAGCAACCUGCCCUUCAGAGGGGGACAACAGUUGGAAACGACUGCUAAUACCGCAUAAGACCACGGUGUGGCAUCACACAGAGGUCAAAGGAGAAAUCCGCUGAAGGAUGGG
Molecule: ribosomal RNA, 235 nt
Filed under: uncultured bacterium
Lineage: Bacteria
Description: partial 16S ribosomal RNA
Rfam family: Bacterial small subunit ribosomal RNA
Source: RNAcentral